CGCACCUUGCGCUCCUUGGUAUUCCGAGGAGCAUGCCUGUUUGAGUGUCUUGAAGUCAUCAACCCCGAGCGUUUCGCGACGCGAGGGCGUUGGAUCUGGGGCGUGCUGCCGCGAGGCUGCUCCCCUCAAAUGAGUCGGCUGGACCUCUGGGUCGAGAUCGAAAGGGCGUUGUACCAUCCUCGCUCGCUCGAAGUCCCGAACGGGACAGCCCCGACCUGCCUCUCUGAAGGGUGGCGGUCAACUUUCUGAAAGCUGACCUCAAAUCAGGUAGGACUACCCGCUGAACUUAA
RNAcentral lists this unclassified non-coding RNA (290 nucleotides) under Trechispora sp. RNAcentral's name for it is "partial contains 5.8S ribosomal RNA, internal transcribed spacer 2, and large subunit ribosomal RNA". Lineage: Eukaryota; Fungi; Basidiomycota; Agaricomycetes; Trechisporales; Hydnodontaceae. The record is from RNAcentral.